AAAAAUUUAGUUAAGCUAUAACAUUAGUUUGUCAAACUAAAAUCAUUGAAUUAAAAUUAAUAAUUUUUA
This 69-nucleotide transfer RNA is filed under the name Staphylinidae sp. BMNH 1274642. RNAcentral's name for it is "tRNA-Asp". It matches the Rfam family "tRNA". From Rfam's summary of the family: Transfer RNA (tRNA) molecules are approximately 80 nucleotides in length. Their secondary structure includes four short double-helical elements and three loops (D, anti-codon, and T loops). The record is from RNAcentral. Lineage: Eukaryota; Metazoa; Arthropoda; Insecta; Coleoptera; Staphylinidae.